GCUUGGACAUGUAGGACAGAGUCACGUGGCAGGACUGCUUCUGUCUACAGCUUGGUCAGUUUUAAGAUGGGCAGUGAUUCCCUCAGCUGUACAACUAUUACAAGCAUAGUUUGCCACUGGGGAGAAUUAAGACUGAAAGAGAAGUGCAUGUAUACAUGUCAGAGAUCCAGGUCAAGACUAGUAUCACAAAUAGAAUUUAAGGAGGGAAAGAACUGGUCAUGUCUGGCUCCAGAAUCAAGGAAACAGAGAAGACAAAGAGGAAAGAUUUCUGGAGAAGUCUCUCAGGCUUUGUCAUGAUGGAAGAGACUAUCCGUCUUCUCUGUUCACUAGAAAUAAUAAUAAAACAGUUGCCGUAGUCA
RNAcentral lists this long non-coding RNA (359 nucleotides) under Numida meleagris (helmeted guineafowl). RNAcentral describes it as "lncRNA (ENSNMEG00000019065.1)". Lineage: Eukaryota; Metazoa; Chordata; Aves; Galliformes; Numididae. The record is from RNAcentral.